CUACGGGGCGCUGCAGUAAGGAAUAUUGGUCAAUGGACGAAAGUCUGAACCAGCCAUGCCGCGUGAAGGAUUAAGGUCCUCUGGAUUGUAAACUUCUUUUAUAUGGGACGAAAAAAGGUCUUUCUAGAUCACUUGACGGUACCAUAUGAAUAAGCACCGGCUAGACUCCGUGCCAGCAGCCGCGGUAAUACGGAGGGUGCAAGCGUUAUCCGGAUUCACUGGGUUUAAAGGGUGCGUAGGCGGGCAGGUAAGUCAGUGGUGAAAUCCUGGAGCUCAACUCCAGAACUGCCAUUGAUACUAUCUGUCUUGAAUAUGGUGGAGGUAAGCGGAAUAUGUCAUGUAGCGGUGAAAUGCUUAGAUAUGACAUAGAACACCCAUUGCGAAGGCAGCUUACUACGCAUAUAUUGACGCUGAGGCACGAAAGCGUGGGGAUCAAACAGGAUUAGAUACCCCCGUAGUC
This 460-nucleotide ribosomal RNA is filed under the name uncultured bacterium. RNAcentral's name for it is "partial 16S ribosomal RNA". It matches the Rfam family "Bacterial small subunit ribosomal RNA", at positions 339 to 795 of the family's 1533-position model. The record is from RNAcentral.